GCAGUCGAACGGUAGCACAGAAGAGCUUGCUCUUCGGGUGACGAGUGGCGGACGGGUGAGUAAUGUCUGGGGAUCUGCCCGAUAGAGGGGGAUAACCACUGGAAACGGUGGCUAAUACCGCAUAACGUCGCAAGACCAAAGAGGGGGACCUUCGGGCCUCUCACUAUCGGAUGAACCCAGAUGGGAUUAGCUAGUAGGUGGGGUAACGGCUCACCUAGGCGACGAUCCCUAGCUGGUCUGAGAGGAUGACCAGCCACACUGGAACUGAGACACGGUCCAGACUCCUACGGGAGGCAGCAGUGGGGAAUAUUGCACAAUGGGCGCAAGCCUGAUGCAGCCAUGCCGCGUGUAUGAAGAAGGCCUUCGGGUUGUAAAGUACUUUCAGCGGGGAGGAAGGGGGGUGAGGU
Molecule: ribosomal RNA, 407 nt
Filed under: bacterium 57-L049660-122-017-A08
Lineage: Bacteria
Description: bacterial SSU rRNA
Rfam family: Bacterial small subunit ribosomal RNA
Source: RNAcentral